This 162-nucleotide ribosomal RNA is filed under the name uncultured bacterium. Its description in RNAcentral is "partial 16S ribosomal RNA". It matches the Rfam family "Bacterial small subunit ribosomal RNA", at positions 355 to 509 of the family's 1533-position model. The record is from RNAcentral.
UGGGGAAUUUUGGACAAUGGGCGCAAGCCUGAUCCAGCCAUGCCGCGUGCAGGAAGAAGGCCUUCGGGUUGUAAACUGCUUUCGGACGGAAAGAAAUCGCCACACCUAAUACGAGUGGUGGAUGACGGUACCGUAAGAAGAAGCACCGGCUAACUACGUGCC